ACGAUAUCAACACAAAUAUCAAAACCUAGAAUAUAUUUGAAAAUGACUAUCAUUGUUAAUAUAAGGAAUUAAGCAUAACGAAAAGAGCUGACACCUAAAAGUAACAGAACACAGACCAUGAAUUAAGUCAAAUCUUCCUCCUUUUAAAUUUACUUAACACAAUAUGCAAUUCAAAAUCAGAAGCAUAUGACACUUCAAAGGUAACACAUUACUCUCAAAGUAUAAAUCACUAAAUUGCGAGCUCAAAAAUAUAAUAGUGUAAAUACCUUACCAUCAACUAAAAAAGUUAUCCUUUUAAGUUCUGAGCCUGAUUUCAGUAGCUAUUUCCUCAAGAAAAAUACACUAAUGUUUUGUGAAAACCAAUUAAUUUCAUCAACCUCAAGCACCUUGAGAAAAUUUCUGUGGAAACUCAAUUUGUACCAUUAUAGAAUCGAUGGCACUUAGGUUCCAGUUCAUAUUCUUCAAUGCAUUAACAGUUAGACAUGCCUCCCUUAAAAAGGAGAUCUAUGACAGCCUGAAAUUGGCAAAAGAAAGAAGAACCACAUUUUGAUUAGCUCUGUUGUAGUAAUCUAUAAUUUUUUCUCCCAAAUGACUAUCUUUCUGAAGACAUACCUGAAAAUUAAAUUAUAUAAUAACACCUUGAUAGAAAAGUCAUUUUUAAUGUCACAUCCUUAAUUCCUUUCUAAUAUAAUUUUAUUCCAUGUGCAUUUUACACUAUAUUAACUUUGGCAGCAACUUAUGUGGCAUAGACAUUAAUGGAGCACUUGGAUAAGAAAAGAAAUCUAUCUGUACUAAGAAAAAGAAUAAAAUGAGUGUCUGAGUACUUGCAUAUACUUGGCAGAUACGUUUUUUGAAAAGCAUUUUCUCGAAUUUCCAUGCUGUACAACUCGUAUCAUCGCCACUACUUCAGUCUACUAAAAGGCCAUCAUAUUGACAUGAAAACUAUCCCCUUCUUCUAACAUGAAACCCCAUUCUGCUUUGCUAAAAAAGUAGAAAUUGGAUCACAAAAUUGAUUUUUUGGGAAAAACCUAAUGAAUUUUAAGAGAUCGAAAAAAUUGUGGAAAGAAAAUUCACUUUGUGAAAAAUCAAUGGAGAGUUUUGCUCAUGAACGGAAGAAAAGUUUUUUUUUUUGUGAA
RNAcentral lists this long non-coding RNA (1136 nucleotides) under Capsicum annuum. Its description in RNAcentral is "long non-coding RNA (CANN_LNC010152)". Lineage: Eukaryota; Viridiplantae; Streptophyta; Magnoliopsida; Solanales; Solanaceae. The record is from RNAcentral.